GCGGAUGUGGCGAAAUGGUAGACGCAGCGGAUUCAAAAUCCGCCGUAGCAAUACAUGUCGGUUCGAGUCCGACCAUCCGCACCA
Molecule: transfer RNA, 84 nt
Filed under: Sphingobium sp.
Lineage: Bacteria; Pseudomonadati; Pseudomonadota; Alphaproteobacteria; Sphingomonadales; Sphingobiaceae
Also listed under: 4 other names
Description: tRNA-Leu
Rfam family: tRNA
About the family: Transfer RNA (tRNA) molecules are approximately 80 nucleotides in length.
Source: RNAcentral